This 450-nucleotide ribosomal RNA is filed under the name uncultured bacterium. RNAcentral describes it as "bacterial SSU rRNA". It matches the Rfam family "Bacterial small subunit ribosomal RNA", at positions 355 to 796 of the family's 1533-position model. The record is from RNAcentral.
UGGGGGAUAUUGCGCAAUGGGCGAAAGCCUGACGCAGCGACGCCGCGUGGGUGAUGAAGGCCUUCGGGUCGUAAAGCCCUGUCGAGGGGGACGAACCGGUCGAGGUCGAAUAGGCCUCGGCCCUGACGGUACCCCUAAAGGAAGCACCGGCUAACUCCGUGCCAGCAGCCGCGGUAAUACGGAGGGUGCGAGCGUUGUUCGGAAUCACUGGGCGUAAAGCGCGUGUAGGCGGCUCAGUAAGUCUGGUGUGAAAGCCCGGGGCUCACCCCCGGAAGUGCACUGGAAACUGCGGAGCUCGAGUCCCGGAGAGGAGAGUGGAAUUCCUGGUGUAGCGGUGAAAUGCGUAGAUAUCAGGAGGAACACCGGUGGCGAAGGCGGCUCUCUGGACGGUGACUGACGCUGAGACGCGAAAGCGUGGGUAGCAAACAGGAUUAGAUACCCCCGUAGUCC